GGGGUGCCCUAGUAACGGCGAGUGAAGCGGCAACAGCUCAAAUUUGAAAUCUGGCUCUUUCAGAGUCCGAGUUGUAAUUUGCAGAGGGCGCUUUGGCGUUGGCAGCGGUCCAAGUUCUUUGGAACAGGACGUCACAGAGGGUGAGAAUCCCGUACGUGGUCGCUAACCUUCGCCGUGUAAAGCCCCUUCGACGAGUCGAGUUGUUUGGGAAUGCAGCUCUAAAUGGGAGGUAAAUUUCUUCUAAAGCUAAAUACUGGCCAGAGACCGAUAGCGCACAAGUAGAGUGAUCGAAAGAUGAAAAGCACUUUGGAAAGAGAGUCAAAUAGCACGUGAAAUUGUUGAAAGGGAAGCGCUUGCAGCCAGACUUGCCUGUAGUUGCUUAUCCGGACUUUUGUCCGGUGCACUCUUCUGCAGGCAGGCCAGCAUCAGUUUGGGCGGUUGGAUAAAGGUCUCUGUCACGUACCUCCCUUCGGGGUUGGCCUUAUAGGGGAGACGUCAUGCAACCAGCCUGGACUGAGGUCCGCGCAUCUGCUAGGAUGCUGGCGUAAUGGCUGUAAGCGGCCCGUCUUGAAACACGGACCAAGGAGUCUAACAUCUAUGCGAGUGUUUGGGUGUCAAGCCCAGACGCGUAAUGAAAGUGAACGGAGGUGGGAACCUUUUAGGUGCACCAUCGACCGAUCCUGAUGUCUUCGGAUGGAUUUGAGUAAGAGCAUGGCUGUUGGGACCCGAAAGAUGGUGAACUAUGCUUGAAUAGGGUGAAGCCAGAGGAAACUCUGGUGGAGGCUCGCAGCGGUUCUGACGUGCAAAUCGAUCGUCAAAUUUGGGCAUAGGGGCGAAAGCAUCA
This 844-nucleotide ribosomal RNA is filed under the name Wojnowiciella viburni. Its description in RNAcentral is "eukaryotic LSU rRNA". It matches the Rfam family "Eukaryotic large subunit ribosomal RNA", at positions 72 to 933 of the family's 3401-position model. The record is from RNAcentral. Lineage: Eukaryota; Fungi; Ascomycota; Dothideomycetes; Pleosporales; Phaeosphaeriaceae.